Molecule: ribosomal RNA, 566 nt
Filed under: Pelagibacterium halotolerans
Lineage: Bacteria; Pseudomonadati; Pseudomonadota; Alphaproteobacteria; Hyphomicrobiales; Devosiaceae
Description: bacterial SSU rRNA
Rfam family: Bacterial small subunit ribosomal RNA
Source: RNAcentral
UUCUCUGGAAUAACUGAUGGAAACGUCAGCUAAUACCGGAUACGCCCUUUUGGGGAAAGAUUUAUCGGGAUUGGAUGAGCCCGCGUAAGAUUAGCUAGUUGGUGGGGUAAUGGCCUACCAAGGCGACGAUCUUUAGCUGGUCUGAGAGGAUGAUCAGCCACACUGGGACUGAGACACGGCCCAGACUCCUACGGGAGGCAGCAGUGGGGAAUAUUGGACAAUGGGGGCAACCCUGAUCCAGCCAUGCCGCGUGAGUGAUGAAGGCCUUAGGGUUGUAAAGCUCUUUCACCGGUGAAGAUAAUGACGGUAACCGGAGAAGAAGCCCCGGCUAACUUCGUGCCAGCAGCCGCGGUAAUACGAAGGGGGCUAGCGUUGUUCGGAAUUACUGGGCGUAAAGCGCACGUAGGCGGAUAUUUAAGUCAGGGGUGAAAUCCCGGAGCUCAACUCCGGAACUGCCUUUGAUACUGGAUAUCUAGAGACCGAGAGAGGUAAGUGGAACUCCUAGUGUAGAGGUGGAAUUCGUAGAUAUUAGGAAGAACACCAGUGGCGAAGGCGGCUUACUGGCU